GAUGAACGCUAGCGGGAGGCCUAACACAUGCAAGCCGAGCGGUAUUGUUUCUUCGGAAAUGAGAGAGCGGCGUACGGGUGCGUAACACGUGUGCAACCUGCCUUUAUCUGGGGGAUAGCCUUUCGAAAGGAAGAUUAAUACUCCAUAAUAUAUUGAACGGCAUCGUUUAAUAUUGAAAGCUCCGGCGGAUAGAGAUGGGCACGCGCAAGAUUAGCUAGUUGGUGAGGUAACGGCUCACCAAGGCGAUGAUCUUUAGGGGGCCUGAGAGGGUGAUCCCCCACACUGGUACUGAGACACGGACCAGACUCCUACGGGAGGCAGCAGUGAGGAAUAUUGGUCAAUGGGUGCAAGCCUGAACCAGCCAUCCCGCGUGAAGGACGACUGCCCUAUGGGUUGUAAACUUCUUUUGUAUAGGGAUAAACCUACCCUCGUGAGGGUAGCUGAAGGUACUAUACGAAUAAGCACCGGCCAACUCCGUG
This 479-nucleotide ribosomal RNA is filed under the name uncultured bacterium. Its description in RNAcentral is "partial 16S ribosomal RNA". It matches the Rfam family "Bacterial small subunit ribosomal RNA", at positions 28 to 507 of the family's 1533-position model. The record is from RNAcentral.